RNAcentral lists this unclassified non-coding RNA (321 nucleotides) under uncultured Entrophospora. Its description in RNAcentral is "uncultured Claroideoglomus sequence contains 5.8S rRNA gene". The stretch from base 1 to 53 matches the Rfam family "5.8S ribosomal RNA", at positions 102 to 154 of the family's 154-position model. Lineage: Eukaryota; Fungi; Glomeromycota; Glomeromycetes; Entrophosporales; Entrophosporaceae. The record is from RNAcentral.
GAACGCAUAUUGCACUCUCUGGUAUUCCGGGGAGUAUGCCUGUUUGAGGGUCAGUAAAUAAUAAUUAUCAUAAUCUUUUGAUUGUGGAAUUGGGCUUUUAUUUCAUUUUUUAAUGGUUUAUGGCCUUAAAUUUAUGUUACCGCUUGUUUAAUAUGAAAUUCGACCGAAUGGAGCAAUUAAACAAUUCUCUCGUUAGGCGGAUUCAUCAAGCAAUUACGAUUUUUUGGCCGUCGAAGCACUUUUUUUUAGAAGUGCUUGGUCGAGAUUGUAAGAUACAUUUAACAAUGACCUCAAAUCAGGCAAGAAUACCCGCUGAACUGA